UGACUACGAAUACUAACACGCAUACGAUAUAAGCUAUAAGAAUUAAAAAUUCAAGAAUCAGAGUUUUCAACCAUAUUUCUCGAAACUCAAGAAAAGGUCUUGUCUCUUUAUAUCGACAAUGCUAAGUUGUACUGAAUAAUCGGGUUAAGGUGUUUAAGAGUAAAUCUUGUUAAUGCAAAACUUAAUAAGCAAAAUAAGAUCCAAUUAUCUCAGUUGCGACGCUUAUAAACCAACUACCAUCAAAACCAUAUCAGGAAGGCCUUCUAUCUCAGUCUUAAUUCUUGAACCCGACAUUCUUAUCAUGUAAGAAUUGAUUGACAACUUGUGCAGAUUGUUUCUCUUUGUGGAUCACAGUUUCAGUAGAAGCAGUGGAUCUUAGUUUUUCACUGAGCAUACAGAUCCAACAAUGGCAGGCAAUGCGCACUUACUGAUGCAAUACAAGUGAUUAAGGAUUUAACCUCGGAGGUGAAGAAACUAAAGGCGGAUCAUGCACUAGAAGGUUUUGAUCGACAAGAAUGUCACAAUUUAGUGAGAUUUUCUAUCUCAACCAUCGCUCAUAACAUGUGGGAUCGUCAAUGAGAGAGGAAGACAAGCAACGAGAGGCAGCAAGAGAAGAGUGUUGCAAAUGGGAGUCAUUCGAGCACAUCUCUCAGGGUAGCUCUUCUGAUAGCAUGGUUCUUGUUCUCUAACACUUUCCUUUUUCUGGUUUCUUUUUUCAUCAUGAAAGUAUCAUCUGUUACUGAAUACUGAACUUGAAAAAAUGCUAUGACCUAAAAUUUUACCUGGUUGAGGAUGCUGAGCUACAGAUACUAACUUGAAGCUAGUUUGUGUCUUAAUUUACCAACUCUAUUACUCUUGAAAAGGAGAAUACAAGUAGAGGUUUAUUGUGAUACAUAUUUCAAGAAAGGGAACGAAAUAAAGUAGACGACAACAACGACAACGAUUUUCAUUGACGACUAUCAUCAGUUCAUAGGCAACUAGAUACUAGACAUUACCAACACAUAAUUUACAGUAAUACAAGCCCUCUUCAUGUUGCCAAUGUUGAGGAUUACCAAUGAACCUUGUUCUACAUUCCGCACCCUUGGCAUGAUGUGCUCGUAGCCUGACUAACUACCACAAGUCCAGGAGGGACGCACAGGAGCAUCAUUGGAUACGUGCAGAUGAAAAAAGGAUAUAUGAGAAUAUUGAUAAUUGCAGCAGAUUGGACUCUUUAGGAUACUCUCAUUAUACUCACCA
Sesamum indicum (sesame) is the source of this 1236-nucleotide long non-coding RNA. RefSeq lists it as uncharacterized. Lineage: Eukaryota; Viridiplantae; Streptophyta; Magnoliopsida; Lamiales; Pedaliaceae. The record is from RefSeq and is a predicted model, not a curated record.